CACGUAGGGGGCGAGCGUUGUCCGGAAUCAUUGGGCGUAAAGAGCUCGUAGGCGGCUCGGUAAGUCGGGUGUGAAACCCCCAGGCUCAACCUGGGGACGCCACCCGAUACUGCUGUGGCUAGAGUCCAGUAGGGGAGUGUGGAAUUCCCGGUGUAGCGGUGAAAUGCGCAGAUAUCGGGAGGAACACCAGCGGCGAAGGCGGCCCUCUGGACGGUGACUGACGCUGAGACGCGAAAGCGUGGGGAGCAAACAGG
RNAcentral lists this ribosomal RNA (254 nucleotides) under uncultured bacterium. Its description in RNAcentral is "partial 16S ribosomal RNA". It matches the Rfam family "Bacterial small subunit ribosomal RNA", at positions 524 to 776 of the family's 1533-position model. The record is from RNAcentral.